UUCUUAUCAAGAGAGGUGGAGGGACUGGCCCGUUGAAGCCCGGCAACCGGUAUUUUUAUAAUACACGGUGCCAAUUCCAGCGGAUAUAAAUCCGGGAGAUAAGGA
RNAcentral lists this non-coding RNA (105 nucleotides) under Bacillus sp. (in: firmicutes). RNAcentral's name for it is "Bacillus sp. SAM-I sequence". It matches the Rfam family "SAM riboswitch aptamer (S box leader)". From Rfam's summary of the family: The SAM riboswitch is found upstream of a number of genes which code for proteins involved in methionine or cysteine biosynthesis in Gram-positive bacteria. Lineage: Bacteria; Bacillati; Bacillota; Bacilli; Caryophanales; Bacillaceae. RNAcentral also lists the same sequence under 1 other name. The record is from RNAcentral.